Molecule: ribosomal RNA, 253 nt
Filed under: uncultured bacterium
Lineage: Bacteria
Description: partial 16S ribosomal RNA
Rfam family: Bacterial small subunit ribosomal RNA
Source: RNAcentral
UACGGGGGGUGCAAGCGUUGUUCGGAAUUAUUGGGCGUAAAGAGCGUGUAGGCGGUUUGUUAAGUCUGUUGUGAAAGCCCUGGGCUCAACCCAGGAAGUGCACUGGAUACUGGCAGACUUGAAUACGGGAGAGGGUAGUGGAAUUCCUAGUGUAGGAGUGAAAUCCGUAGAUAUUAGGAGGAACACCGGUGGCGAAGGCAGCUACCUGGACCGAUAUUGACGCUGAGACGCGAAAGCGUGGGUAGCAAACAGG